GACGAACGCUGGCGGCGUGCCUAAUACAUGCAAGUCGAGCGGACUGAUUCGGGGCUUGCCCCGUUGAUGUCAGCGGCGGACGGGUGAGUAACACGUGGGUAACCUGCCUGACAGACUGGGAUAACGCUUGGAAACGAGUGCUAAUACCAGAUAGGCUCUUUGACCGCAUGGUCGUAGAGGGAAAGAAGCUAUCGCUUCACUGUCAGAUGGACCCGCGGCGCAUUAGCUAGUUGGUGAGGUAACGGCUCACCAAGACGACGAUGCGUAGCCGACCUGAGAGGGUGACCGGCCACACUGGGACUGAGACACGGCCCAGACUCCUACGGGAGGCAGCAGUAGGGAAUCUUCCACAAUGGGCGAAAGCCUGAUGGAGCAACGCCGCGUGAGUGAUGAAGGCCUUCGGGUUGUAAAACUCUGUCUUCUGUGACGAACAAGCCUGUGAGUGGAAAGCUCAGGCCCUGACGGUAACAGAGGAGGAAGCCACGGCUAGCUACGUGCCAGCAGCCGCAGUAA
Molecule: ribosomal RNA, 513 nt
Filed under: uncultured bacterium
Lineage: Bacteria
Description: partial 16S ribosomal RNA
Rfam family: Bacterial small subunit ribosomal RNA
Source: RNAcentral